Molecule: non-coding RNA, 388 nt
Organism: Macaca mulatta (Rhesus monkey)
Lineage: Eukaryota; Metazoa; Chordata; Mammalia; Primates; Cercopithecidae
Source: RefSeq, a predicted model, not a curated record
AAUAAAAUGAAAUGCAUUAAGGGAAUGCCUGUGUGACUUUAGCGAACAAUUUCAGCAGAAAAACUUGCCUGAUAUUAGCCAACAAGACUGGAAAUUAAGAUGGAGGCAUUGGCCGGUUCCGGCGGCUCACGCCUGAAGUCCCAGCACUUUGGGAGGCCGAGCAGGUGGCCUGGAGAGGAAGAGAUAUGGAGUUAUUACAAAAAGGAAUCUGUAGUACUUGAAAACAAGCAAGAAACAGCAAGACAGAGGAAGAUGAAACUAAGAAGAAUAAGAAUCUUUUGUUUUCAGUUUCGAUAACGAAGCAAAUAAUGGAACCGAUGACAGGAAAAUUGAUUCAUAAGGUGAAGAUCAAGGAAUUUAACCGACUAGUAGACUGCGUAAGUUAUUU